RNAcentral lists this ribosomal RNA (253 nucleotides) under uncultured bacterium. Its description in RNAcentral is "partial 16S ribosomal RNA". It matches the Rfam family "Bacterial small subunit ribosomal RNA", at positions 524 to 776 of the family's 1533-position model. The record is from RNAcentral.
CACGUAGGGGACGAGCGUUGUCCGGAUUCAUUGGGCGUAAAGCGCGCGUAGGCGGCCCGGCAAGUCGGAUGUGAAAACCUGGGGCUCAACCCCAGGCGUGCACCCGAUACUCCCGGGCUGGAGGCAGGUAGGGGAGAUCGGAAUUCCUGGUGUAGCGGUGAAAUGCGCAGAUAUCAGGAGGAACACCGGUGGCGAAGGCGGACCUCUGGGCCUUGCCUGACGCUAAGGCGCGAAAGCGUGGGGAGCAAAAGGG